GAUGAACGCUGGCGGCGUGCCUAAUACAUGCAAGUCGAGCGAACGGACGAGAAGCUUGCUUCUCUGAUGUUAGCGGCGGACGGGUGAGUAACACGUGGAUAACCUACCUAUAAGACUGGGAUAACUUCGGGAAACCGGAGCUAAUACCGGAUAAUAUUUUGAACCGCAUGGUUCAAAAGUGAAAGACGGUCUUGCUGUCACUUAUAGAUGGAUCCGCGCUGCAUUAGCUAGUUGGUAAGGUAACGGCUUACCAAGGCAACGAUGCAUAGCCGACCUGAGAGGGUGAUAGGCCAAACUGGAACUGAGAAACGGUCCAGACUCCUACGGGAGGCAGCAGUAGGGAAUCUUCCGCAAUGGGCGAAAGCCUGACGGAGCAACGCCGCGUGAGUGAUGAAGGUCUUCGGAUCGUAAAACUCUGUUAUUAGGGAAGAACAUAUGUGUAAGUAACUGUGCACAUCUUGACGGUACCUAAUCAGAAAGCCACGGCUAACUACGUG
RNAcentral lists this ribosomal RNA (497 nucleotides) under uncultured bacterium. RNAcentral describes it as "partial 16S ribosomal RNA". It matches the Rfam family "Bacterial small subunit ribosomal RNA", at positions 28 to 507 of the family's 1533-position model. The record is from RNAcentral.